Molecule: unclassified non-coding RNA, 200 nt
Filed under: soil metagenome
Description: partial contains internal transcribed spacer 2 and large subunit ribosomal RNA
Source: RNAcentral
GGGCUUGGUUCAUGGUUGUUGAAGGCUUAACAGUCUUCUCAACUGAAAUACACGAGCUACCUAUUUUAUAAUAGACGGUUUGACUCGGCGUAAUAACUAUUUCGCUGAGGACGUCCUUUUAUAAUAGUAAUGGUGCUUCUAAUUUAACAUCAAUUUAAGAUUUAGACCUCAAAUCAGUCAGGACUACCCGCUGAACUUAA